AGUUUUUUGUUUUUUUAUAAAAAAUAGUUUCUGCCCAGUGAAUUAUUUAACGGCUGCGGUAAUUUGACCGUGCAAAGGUAGCAUAAUCAUUUGUCUCAUAAUUGGGGACUGGAAUGAAUGGGGAGACCAAAAUUAGUUCUUUUUUGGUUUUUGGAAUAGAAUUUUCUUUUUAAGUGAAGAAGCUUAGAGAAAAAAGGGGACAAGAAGACCCUAUUGAGCUUGACUCUUUGAAGUGGUGUGAUAUUUAAUUAUUUAAAAAGAGUUAGACUGGGGCGGUGGAGGAAGAUAAAAUCUUCUUUUUUCUUUUUUAGAAUUAAAUUUUUGGAUCCAAGUUUUUUGAGAAGAAGAAAAAGUUACCAUAGGGAUAACAGCGUAAUUUUUUUGGAGAGUUCUUAUUGAUAAAAAAGUUUGCGACCUCGAUGUUGACUUUUAGUAGCUUUUUGGUGCAGAAGCCAAGAUGGUGGGUCUGUUCGACCUUUAAAACUAA
This 487-nucleotide ribosomal RNA is filed under the name Hubrechtella sp. TCH-2015. RNAcentral describes it as "partial 16S ribosomal RNA". It matches the Rfam family "Bacterial large subunit ribosomal RNA", at positions 1888 to 2597 of the family's 2925-position model. Lineage: Eukaryota; Metazoa; Nemertea; Pilidiophora; Hubrechtidae. The record is from RNAcentral.